AUUGAACGCUGGCGGCAGGCCUAACACAUGCAAGUCGAACGGUAACAGGAAGCAGCUUGCUGCUUUGCUGACGAGUGGCGGACGGGUGAGUAAUGUCUGGGAAACUGCCUGAUGGAGGGGGAUAACUACUGGAAACGGUAGCUAAUACCGCAUAACGUCGCAAGACCAAAGAGGGGGACCUUCGGGCCUCUUGCCAUCGGAUGUGCCCAGAUGGGAUUAGCUAGUAGGUGGGGUAACGGCUCACCUAGGCGACGAUCCCUAGCUGGUCUGAGAGGAUGACCAGCCACACUGGAACUGAGACACGGUCCAGACUCCUACGGGAGGCAGCAGUGGGGAAUAUUGCACAAUGGGCGCAAGCCUGAUGCAGCCAUGCCGCGUGUAUGAAGAAGGCCUUCGGGUUGUAAAGUACUUUCAGCGGGGAGGAAGGGAGUAAAGUUAAGACCUUUGCUCAUUGACGUUACCCGCAGAAGAAGCACCGGCUAACUCCGU
This 489-nucleotide ribosomal RNA is filed under the name uncultured bacterium. RNAcentral's name for it is "partial 16S ribosomal RNA". It matches the Rfam family "Bacterial small subunit ribosomal RNA", at positions 30 to 506 of the family's 1533-position model. The record is from RNAcentral.